AGCCCGCGUUGGAUUAGCUAGUUGGUGGGGUAAAGGCCUACCAAGGCGACGAUCCAUAGCUGGUCUGAGAGGAUGAUCAGCCACAUUGGGACUGAGACACGGCCCAAACUCCUACGGGAGGCAGCAGUGGGGAAUAUUGGACAAUGGGCGCAAGCCUGAUCCAGCCAUGCCGCGUGAGUGAUGAAGGCCCUAGGGUUGUAAAGCUCUUUCACCGGAGAAGAUAAUGACGGUAUCCGGAGAAGAAGCCCCGGCUAACUUCGUGCCAGCAGCCGCGGUAAUACGAAGGGGGCUAGCGUUGUUCGGAAUUACUGGGCGUAAAGCGCACGUAGGCGGAUCGAUCAGUCAGGGGUGAAAUCCCAGGGCUCAACCCUGGAACUGCCUUUGAUACUGUCGAUCUGGAGUAUGGAAGAGGUGAGUGGAAUUCCGAGUGUAGAGGUGAAAUUCGUAGAUAUUCGGAGGAACACCAGUGGCGAAGGCGGCUCACUGGUCCAUUAC
RNAcentral lists this ribosomal RNA (495 nucleotides) under Rhizobium sp. Its description in RNAcentral is "bacterial SSU rRNA". It matches the Rfam family "Bacterial small subunit ribosomal RNA", at positions 228 to 740 of the family's 1533-position model. Lineage: Bacteria; Pseudomonadati; Pseudomonadota; Alphaproteobacteria; Hyphomicrobiales; Rhizobiaceae. The record is from RNAcentral.